Molecule: ribosomal RNA, 492 nt
Filed under: uncultured bacterium
Lineage: Bacteria
Description: partial 16S ribosomal RNA
Rfam family: Bacterial small subunit ribosomal RNA
Source: RNAcentral
AGUGAACGCUGGCGGUAGGCCUAACACAUGCAAGUCGAACGGCAGCACGGUAAGAGCUUGCUCUUACGGGUGGCGAGUGGCGGACGGGUGAGGAAUACAUCGGAAUCUACUUUUUCGUGGGGGAUAACGUAGGGAAACUUACGCUAAUACCGCAUACGACCUACGGGUGAAAGCAGGGGAUCUUUGGACCUUGCGCGAUUGAAUGAGCCGAUGUCGGAUUAGCUAGUUGGCGGGGUAAAGGCCCACCAAGGCGACGAUCCGUAGCUGGUCUGAGAGGAUGAUCAGCCACACUGGAACUGAGACACGGUCCAGACUCCUACGGGAGGCAGCAGUGGGGAAUAUUGGACAAUGGGCGCAAGCCUGAUCCAGCCAUACCGCGUGGGUGAAGAAGGCCUUCGGGUUGUAAAGCCCUUUUGUUGGGAAAGAAAAGCAGCAGGUUAAUACCCCGCUGUUCUGACGGUACCCAAAGAAUAAGCACCGGCUAACUUCGUG